CAAUGUCUUUGAGGGGCCAAUUCUCUCACACCAGAAGUGACUUGCGGUUUUUCAAGUCGCUCCUGACACGAAAAGAGUGCUAUAGUGCUUGCUAAUAAAAACCUAUCCAGUCUUUUUAUAGAAAACAAAUGACAUCAAAUUGGGAACUAAGAAAUAAACAUGCACCAAAGUUAAUUAGUAGGAAUUCAUUUUGGCAGGAAGCUAAUUUUUGUAGGUCGUAUCCAAGCAAUCUGUAGAAUCUCAGGGGGAAGGUAAAGUAAAAUGAUGUUUGUUGUUGUUAUUCAUUCAUUUUUCUCUUGUAUCUGCUGACAGUAAAAUCAAUCAAUACUGAGCCACCAAGCUCAUCUCUGUAUCCCAUUAUCUUGUCAUCCAAAGUAAAUGCUCAACUCACUUAUUGCUAAAACUAACUUUUCUUUCUGGUCUUAAUUUCUUUUUGUUGAAAUAUGAGAUACUAUUAUGGCAUAUUUUGAAACAACGUAAGAGCGAGCCAGUGCUGAAGUGAUAAAACUAGAAUUUGGGAAAUCUGGGUUCAGGUUUCCACUCAGGUAUGAAACCUGCUUCCUCGACCCAAGCUACCUCAUGAGGCUGCUACAAAGAAAAAAUGAGGAGUAACAGAAACAUGCAUGCUGUCUUGAGUUCACUGGAGGAAAGAUGGGAUAUAAGUAUAAUCAAUGAAUAAAACUAAACUAUGAAAUAGAAAAACCCAGAAGAUCCCAAGGAAAUAAAAAUCUCUACUCACUUCUCACUUGUAAAUCAAUUAAUCCAAGCCAAAACUGGGUGGAUUCACAGUACUACAAGCAAACACGGAACAGAUGGGUUUUUGAGAUCGUGCCUCAGUUCUUGAACAGCCAUUAAAAACAAAUCAAGCUCAAUAUAAUACAAAAGGGAGUACACACCCAUGUCUGCCCACAUUCAUAGAUUUCAAUUUUGUUUUUCACCUUGUAAUUAGUUUCAUGUGGAAAAAGUAUGGGAUUUGUUUUAAAAAUGUAAAAAAAACAACCCAGAAAUAUUUUACCCACUCUGUGCAACAAAAAGGGAGCUGCUGUUGCUGUAGACUUCCACAUAGCAUAGAAAUGAGUGUCACGUCUUUGAAAAUGCAUGUAAAAUUCACUCAUACACCUAAUGAAUCUUUGGCAGUGGUAGGAGAAUUUACAGCUUGGCUUUUUCUGUAGCUCGUUUUUUUUCCCUAGGAAAAAACUGAAGGAAAUUGGCAGUUCAGGAGAGAAAACACAAGAUUAAAGGUAUUUUAUGGAAACCAUAAUGGCAACUAAAAUGGCAGUAUUGAAUUGCUUUGGAAUAACCAAGUCUUACCAAAGCUAACACAUCUUUCAUGGCUAUGUUUUUACAUCCGUGUAUUACUAAGCUUCCAGUGGUGCAGCGGGUUAAACUGCUGAGCUUGCUGAUAGAAAGGUUGGCGGUUCAGAUCUGGGGAGCAGGGUGAGCUCCCAUAGUUAGCCCCAGCUUCUGCCAACUCAGCAGUUAGAAAACAUGCAAAUGUGAGUACAUCAGUAAGUUCCACUCCGGCUGGAAGGUAACAGCACUCCAUGCAGUCAUGUCAGCCACAUGACCUUGGAGGUGUCUACAGACAACGCCGGUUCUUCAGCAUAGAAAUGGAGAUGAGCACCAAACCCCAGAGUUGGGCACAAGUCGACUUAAUGUUGGGGGAAAACCUUUACCGUUACCUAUCACUAUUAAAUAGGAACCUGUGAAAUUGCCUUAUAUUGUCAGGCCAUCAGGAGGCAGUGGCUCUCUAGAAUUUCAGAUGUUGUUUUUUUUCUAGAUCUACCUGGUCAUACCAGAGAUUGAACCUGAGACCUUAUGCAUGGAAAGAGCACAGUAUGAGCUAUAGCAUUUCCUCAACAGCUCAUUCAAGUAUCACAUGCAAAGGGUCUAAUAUAAUCUAUUGCACAUACCUCCAACACCAUUGCAACGGGAUGUCAGUUCCCAUAGAACUAAGGCCAUGGAAUACACAUCUGUCUGCUUGAAGGAUUCAACAUUAUCCAAAUUCAUUCGUGAUUCCAGGACUUCAGGAGCCAUGUAUCUUGCAGUGCCGACCUGCAUUUAGAACGCAGUUAAAAAUGCUUUUGAUGGACCAAUCAAUUCAAGAAGUUUGUGUAAACUGACUGCAAAAUAUAAUAUUAUUAUACAAGA
Anolis carolinensis (green anole) is the source of this 2151-nucleotide long non-coding RNA. RefSeq lists it as uncharacterized. The record is from RefSeq and is a predicted model, not a curated record. The transcript is spliced from 2 exons. NCBI's taxonomy places the organism in Eukaryota, Metazoa, Chordata, Lepidosauria, Squamata, Anolidae.